RNAcentral lists this long non-coding RNA (1420 nucleotides) under Capra hircus (goat). Its description in RNAcentral is "lncRNA (ENSCHIG00010023084.1)". Lineage: Eukaryota; Metazoa; Chordata; Mammalia; Artiodactyla; Bovidae. The record is from RNAcentral.
CUUCCAUCUGUUUCUUCUAAUGUACAUCAUUGCCUGUCAUGCCUCUUCUUUUUAUAUACAACAUUAGAUAUCAGGAAAAAAUGUUUAGUUUUUAUUGGGGUAUAGUUGACUUACAAUAUCACUAAUUAUUAUAGUAGUGAAAAAUGUUUUAAAACUGAAGUUUUAUCAUCAAAAAGAGAAGGGGGAAAAAAGAACUAGAAAGAAAUAGUGUAGAAUGUUAAAGCUUUGUUCCCAGAACUUACUGACCUUACUUCUGUCCCAACCUUCUGCUGGUGAACCUGGGCUGUCCUAAAACCACUGUUAGAACCUUGGAGACUUUGAUGUCAAAGAAGUCAAGGGAUCAAGUCAUUUCAAGAGAAUGUGACAUAGUUUUCAUCGGGGAAGUUCUGUUGAAAAAAAUGCAUGUUGAUGCAACCUAGAAAAAUAGUAAGAUUUCCUUCAAUCAACCCAACAGAAAAGGUAAAGACUCUCCAUGAUAAUGUCACUGUCAUUCUUCUCCUCACUUGUGCUUUAAAAAUCAAUCACAUUGAAGCAACUGGAAUGAAAGUUCUCUAGGUGUAUUCCAAGUUCUAAGCAUCUCCUGGGAACUAGUUAGACUUGCUAAUUCUUGUGGCUGCCCGAGAGAGGGAGGCGGGGGCCGGGUGGAGGGAGAGGGGGGAGGACUGGGCCUAGCAAUCUACGUUUUUAAAAGUUCUCAAAGAGGGUAUGAUGAAUGUUAAAAUUUGAAAACUGCCAAACUCAAUGUAACUCUUGUUAAGAAUCCAUCCAGAUUCUUGGAAUUCUCUUGCAGACCCAUGGAGUGGGAAUCUCUGGUUUGCAUUUUAACAGGCUCCUAGAUGACUGUUAUGCUUGUUCAUAUUUGAAAGUCACUACUUUAGAGUUGGUGCUUCUCUUUCAUCCCACCACCCCAUCCAACCUAUAAGACCUUUGCCAAAUCCUAUAAACUUUACACUUGCAAAAAUUUCCAAACCUAAUGCUAAUUAUCAGAAAAACCUAAGAUUUUUAUAAAAUUCCCAGGCCCUGCUCCAGAAUUAUANNNNNNNNNNNNNNNNNNNNNNNNNNNNNNNNNNNNNNNNNNNNNNNNNNNNNNNNNNNNNNNAUACUAUCUGUCCAUCUGGGAACAUGGUGAAGAAUUUACUCUUAUAUUCUUAAAUUUGAUGUAGCUACUCACUAGUAGACAUUUCGGCCUCACUAUUAGAAUUUACUCCCUUGUUCUAUUUGAAUAUACUUUAAUUUGGACUUUAUAAAGUCCUCAUUAUGAAAACAAUCACAAAUAGUAUCCAAAUUAAAAUUAUGCAACUCUGAUCAUUUUAUUCUCCCACUCAAAAUUUUUUACUGUAUUACAUACAAAUUACUCAGCUUGACAUUCAAGACCCUCUGCUAAUCUUCUUACUAAUUCAUAUCUCAGUUAAUUUAGCUC